GGCAUGGCUCAGUCGGUAGAGCGUCGCAUUGGUAGUGCGGAGGUCACGGGUUCGAUUCCCGUUGCC
RNAcentral lists this transfer RNA (66 nucleotides) under human gut metagenome. It matches the Rfam family "tRNA". From Rfam's summary of the family: Transfer RNA (tRNA) molecules are approximately 80 nucleotides in length. RNAcentral also lists the same sequence under 1 other name. The record is from RNAcentral.